AGUGAACGCUGGCGGCGUGCUUAACACAUGCAAGUCGAACGAGAACGGGUUAUAGCUUGCUAUAAUUGUCAGCUAAGUGGCGCACGGGUGAGUAAUGUAUAGGUAAUAUGCCUCUUACUAAGGGAUAACAAAUGGAAACGUUUGCUAAUACCUUAUACUCCUUAUUAACAGAAGUUAAUAAGGGAAAGAUUUAUUGGUAAGAGAUUAGCCUGUAUUGUAUCAGUUAGUUGGUGGGGUAAUGGCUUACCAAGACUAUGACACAUAACUGGUUUGAGCGGAUGAUCAGUCACGCUGGAACUGAGACACGGUCCAGACUCCUACGGGAGGCAGCAGUGGGGAAUAUUGCACAAUGGACGAAAGUCUGAUGCAGCAACGCCGCGUGGAGGAUGACACAUUUCGGUGCGUAAACUCCUUUUAUAUGAGAAGAUAAUGACGGUAUUAUAUGAAUAAGCACCGGCUAACUCCGUGCCAGCAGCCGCGGUAA
RNAcentral lists this ribosomal RNA (484 nucleotides) under uncultured bacterium. RNAcentral's name for it is "partial 16S ribosomal RNA". It matches the Rfam family "Bacterial small subunit ribosomal RNA", at positions 29 to 523 of the family's 1533-position model. The record is from RNAcentral.